This 253-nucleotide ribosomal RNA is filed under the name uncultured bacterium. RNAcentral's name for it is "partial 16S ribosomal RNA". It matches the Rfam family "Bacterial small subunit ribosomal RNA", at positions 524 to 776 of the family's 1533-position model. The record is from RNAcentral.
UACAGAGGUCUCAAGCGUUGUUCGGAUUCAUUGGGCGUAAAGGGCGCGUAGGCGGCCGGCCAAGUCGGGUGUGAAAUCCCUCGGCUCAACCGAGGAACUGCACUCGAUACUGGCUGGCUAGAGUCCGGGAGGGGAUGGUGGAAUUCCCAGUGUAGCGGUGAAAUGCGUAGAUAUUGGGAAGAACACCGGUGGCGAAGGCGGCCAUCUGGACCGGAACUGACGCUGAGGCGCGAAAGCCAGGGGAGCGAAUGGG